Molecule: non-coding RNA, 110 nt
Organism: Acanthosepion pharaonis
Lineage: Eukaryota; Metazoa; Mollusca; Cephalopoda; Sepiida; Sepiidae
Source: the annotation of a GenBank genome assembly
GGGCAUAUCACGUUGAAACACCGGUUCUCGUACGAUCGCUGAAGUUAAGCAACGUCGAACAUGGUCAGUACCUAGAUGGAUAACUACUUGGAAAUACCAGGUGUUGUAAG